Anguilla rostrata (American eel) is the source of this 3766-nucleotide long non-coding RNA. RefSeq lists it as uncharacterized. Lineage: Eukaryota; Metazoa; Chordata; Actinopteri; Anguilliformes; Anguillidae. The record is from RefSeq and is a predicted model, not a curated record. The transcript has 2 exons.
AAAACACUGUCCUCUGAGGUAUAAAGUAAGAAAAAAGUAUUGUUGGUAAGGUAAAAUAUUGUUCAACUGUGUUUAUGCUUAGAUUAGAUGCUUGUGCUUGCGCGGAACUAACGUUGUAUUGAGGAAAAAUUGUGAUUUAUGUGUAGGUGCAACUAUAAAGGAAAAUAAGUAAAGAAACGUGAAGUGUGUAGAAAGUAUAAAAAAGGGGAAAAUAAAGGUUAAAUAUAUAAUAAAAUCUUCAAAUAGGGAAAUAGGAUAAAAGUAUAAAGUAAACAUAAAAUAAUGGAAAAAGGAGAGAGAACGCCGGUUGAAAUAAUCACAGGAAAAUAUCCUAAUUGUAAAAAGGAGAUAGAACAUAUAUCAGGAAAAUGGAAAAAAAGAACUAAAAGAAUGGCGACAAAAUGGCCUAAAGAGGGCACGUUUGAUGUAGAAAUAUGCGAUCAGAUGGGAGGGGUAAUAGCAAAUUAUAGAACAGGAGACAAGUCAGAAAAAAGAAAGCGAAAAAGAGAACAGGAAAAAAGAAUUUUAGGAUGGUUUAGGUCCGCUUCCCUAGAAAAAUAUGUAGGAAUGAGUGGGGGUCGCAGUAAAGAAAUGACCCCCCCUCCGUAUACCCCGCAGUCAUCAGGACAUGCGGAAAUAAAAGAGAAGGGCGUGUACCCAAUAGGCCCGGUAACAUCUGCAGUAACAGUGUGUCCAGUAGUAAAAGGACAGGUUCAGAUACAAGGGUGGGUAGAACAUGAGGAAAGUGAGGAACAGCUCGAGAUAGAGAGAGCGCGGCUCGAGGAAGAAAAGGGAAAAAUAGAAAAAAGGGUAACAGAGCUAAGGAGAGAAUACAAGGAGGUAGAGGAGUUAGAAGAGCUGUUAAAAGAAAAAUAUAACCAGUAUGAUGAAUACCAUAGCCGGUUAAUAAAAAAGGCAAAAGAGAUAAGAGACACUGAGAAAAAACAGCAAGCGUCUAAAAAAUGCCAAAAGCCUGAACAGGUGGGGUCAAAAAGGGACGAGGAAACACCUAAAAAAUGCGAAACUGCGGGGUGGGGAAAUUUUAGAUGGGAAAAGCUCCCGUAUAACACAUGGGAAGAGCUGAAGCCAAAAAUUACCAAGAGAACAGAGUCCCGAGAAAAACAUAAGCCAUAUUUGACGAAAGACAUUAUAAAUAGAAAGCAAAUCGCCCAAGCAGAAUAUAAAUACAAUAAAGGGGAGGAGGAAUUCUCCCCAGCAGAAAAAAGUGAGGCGAGCGACAAUGAGGCAUGCCAGACAAACAAUAGUGAGGCAGAAGAGUCAGACGGGGGAGAGGGGCCUGCACAGGUGGGAGGAGAUUUAGCUGGGCGAUAUCAAAACACAAGAGAAAGGCCGCCAACCCGGCGUAACCCUGCAGCAGAAGGAUAUAGCCAUAAUGCUAGUAAACCCAAUACUAUAGCACCAUUGUUGAUUAAGGAAGGGGGUGUACCCCGAUACAUUCCCUGGUCCACCCAAGAUAUGCAGAAUGUAAUAACCAAUCUCCCUGAUUUGCAGAAUGGAGCAAGCCACUGGAUCAGGGUGCUGGAGGAGGAGACGACAGGCCGGAUCCUGGCUGUGGGGGACCUGAAGGCUCUCCUGGGAAAGGCUGUGGGGAUGGAAACAAUGCUGGACAUAUUUGAGCAGGCUGGCUUUGACAGAAACCAUGCGCAGUCUCCAGCAGUGGACGGUGGGCCGUUUGAUAACGUGCGUGGGGUUGUUUGGACUGCUCUGCGAACCCUGUAUCCCGCACGACCGGACAUAACGACCUUAACGGGACCGCCGUUAAAAGACAAUGAACCACCGGCAACAUACAUCCACACGCAGUUGCGCAGGUGGAGAUUGUUAACUGAAAAGGACGUACAGGCAGAUCCCAUAAUGACCACCCUCUUCCGCAAAGCCAUCCGGGAGGGGAUGUCACCGGAAGUGGGGCGCCGCCUCGAUGAGGUGGUGGGACUGAACACCAUGACACACAGAGAGUUUGUGGAUCACGUGGUGCACGCUGUGGACAGGCAGCGGAAAGAGGGGAAAAAGCUGGAAGAUCAAACAAAAGACAUUCAAAGGAAGCUACUGCAGUUGCAGCUGGAGGAGCUGAGAGCCAAAGAAAAAGAGGCGAGAGAAAUAAAGGAGCUGAGAGCCAAAGAAAAAGAGGCGGAAAAAGUGGCAUCGGUGAAAAUACAGAAUAUGGACAAUGAAUUCUUUGACUUUGAAGCCACUCCCCCCGCCUGAACCACGGAGCAGCCGGAUGGUGCCCCAGCCGACGGUGGUCUACGACUUCUCCGGCAUCCCUCACCCAGUGGCCAUGCAAGAUACAAAAGAACAGUACAUAAGGGGGGCAAAAGGGGGGACACAAGGUGUCCAGGAAGAAGCUGCAGCUCUGCUCUCAGAAGACGGGGAGAGCGGAGGGACUGCGGGCGCUGACACCAGCCCAGGGAGCAACAGCACCCCUGCGGGUCCAGUACGAGAAUCGCAGGUCGGCUUUCCAGUGGAGUGACGCGCAGACCGCGUACUCUGGAUGGGAAGAUAUACCAGGAACCUACCACCUAUGAGGACUGCAGCAACACAUCGUGCUACGAAUCAACGUGUUAAGAAAUUGUGUAUAAUAACUUUGUUGGGUCACUUAGAAUAAUAUAUACAGCUUUGAUAUGUAUAAUCAAAUUUUGCGACUGGAGAGAGUGUUGGAGGAACCAUGGGAACAACGUUACAUUGAGGAAUCUGAUACAUUUGGAUGCUGCUAUGGCAGCAGGGGAUGUGCAGGCACCCAACAUAAUAUACAUGGGGUGGUGCACACCCGACACUGACUGAUGCUGAGAAUAAGAAUACAGCGAGGGGUGUUUUUCGGGGCCAUGAGGUUUGACCCCGAAAGGGGGGAAUGUAGGAGAAUUUUGAGACUCCCCAUGAGUGUGAUGACGUCACAUGUUAAAGUUUUUUUGUUAAAGGGUAUUCCUGUCAAUGUUGAUCAGACUGUUUCCUCCAAACUCUCAAUGCUUCAUGAUAAAAAUUAUAUACACUCAUAUAUCACAUGUAUAACUAUAUACUAAUAUAAUCAAUAUGUAAUCCAAUAACUCUAUAUCAGUAGUUGCAGCAAAGCUUAUGGAAACGCAAGAAACCACAGUAUCCACUGUAGAAAAAAGGCAAACGCAGAAGGCUUAAAAAAACCAUACUUACUCAGCAGAAAAUUAGUGCCAACUAGAUAUGCUAGAAAACUAAUACUUUACAGUGACCCAUGUGUAACCUGAAUAAAGUAAAAAAAGGUACAGGAGGCUAUAGCUCUAUGAACUUGUAUGUAUAAUGGAAAAAUACAGAAAGCAAUGACGUGUAUGCAUAGUGAAAAAGUACAGAGUAAGGGAAAAUUGGAAAAAUACAGACAGCAAUGACGUGGUGUAUGCGUAAGUGGGAAAGUACCACGUAAGGGAAAAUUGGGGUACCUGUCCACUGAUGAAGAUUAAUUAAAGACAUCAAUAGAACUAAAAAUCAGUUUUGGAGCACCUGACCACUAUGAUAAAAAUACUUACUAAUACAGUAAGAACAUCAUAAGGACCGAAAAUCAUCUUUAUGCCAAAAAGGUCAAGUUGACCCACGAACAGGAAAGUGAAACUCCUUGCUGUGCCAGAAAAGGCCAGAGGGCUGAUAUUUUUAGAAAUGUGUUAAAGGGGGGUUGUGGGCACAAAUUGUGUAUAAAAUGUAUGCAAAACUGACAAUCGAGGUUCAAUUCCCCUGAAUUGAUCCGGCUUUGUGCACCUGUGCAAUAAAGUCUAAACUUUCUGAAGAG